UUCACUCUUAAAAGAUCAUCUCUGAGAGUGGCAUCUUCAAACCCAGUGGACAGAAAACUAUGUGGAGGUCAUGGGAAUCAGGAUCACCUACACCCUUGAGUCAGUGCAUCCUACCAUUUUGAUACUCAUCCCAACCCACAGAGAUGCCAGGUUUCUGAAGUGGAUACUUACCUCACAAUCUUGUCCCAUGAUGCUUACUAUUGUAGUCUGAGAAGAUUCACCACGAGGAUUCCUGAUAACUUGGCUGUUGUUCAGAGAACAGAAAGAAGAGGACACAACAAUCAAUGAAUUGUAUCUAUCGAACACUUACUGUGUGUACCAUAUGCAGAACAUUGUAUUAACACUGUAUUAAAU
Ornithorhynchus anatinus (platypus) is the source of this 354-nucleotide long non-coding RNA. RefSeq lists it as uncharacterized. The record is from RefSeq and is a predicted model, not a curated record. The transcript has 3 exons. Lineage: Eukaryota; Metazoa; Chordata; Mammalia; Monotremata; Ornithorhynchidae.